UUAUGGCUCAGGAUGAACGCUGGCGGCGUGCUUAACACAUGCAAGUCGAGCGGAGAUAUGAAAUUGGAGAGCUUCGGCAGGAAGAUUUCAUAUUUAGCGGCGGACGGGUGAGUAACGUGUGGGCAACCUGCCCUGUACUGUGGAAUAAUCACUGGAAACGGUGACUAAUACCGCAUGUCAUUGCGAGAGGGCAUCCUCUUGCAAGAAAAGGAUUUAUUCGGUACAGGAUGGGCCCGCAUCUGAUUAGCUAGUUGGUGAGAUAACAGCCCACCAAGGCAACGAUCAGUAGCCGACCUGAGAGGGUGAUCGGCCACAUUGGGACUGAGACACGGCCCAAACUCCUACGGGAGGCAGCAGUGGGGAAUAUUGCACAAUGGGCGAAAGCCUGAUGCAGCAACGCCGCGUGAAGGAAGAAGGGUUUCGGCUCGUAAACUUCUAUCAACAGGGACGAAAAAAUGACGGUACCUGAAUAAGAAGCCCCGGCUAACUACGUGCCAGCAGCCGC
This 505-nucleotide ribosomal RNA is filed under the name uncultured bacterium. RNAcentral describes it as "bacterial SSU rRNA". It matches the Rfam family "Bacterial small subunit ribosomal RNA", at positions 17 to 518 of the family's 1533-position model. The record is from RNAcentral.